AUUGAACGCUGGCGGCAUGCUUUACACAUGCAAGUCGAACGGCAGCGCGGGCUUCGGCCUGGCGGCGAGUGGCGAACGGGUGCGUAAUGCAUCGGAACGUGCCCAUCAGUGGGGGAUAGCCGGGCGAAAGCCGGAUUAAUACCGCAUACGCCCUGAGGGUGAAAGCGGGGGACCGAAAGGUCUCGCGCUAUUGGAGCGGCCGAUGUCGGAUUAGCUAGUUGGUGGGGUGAAGGCUUACCAAGGCGACGAUCCGUAGCUGGUCUGAGAGGACGACCAGCCACACUGGAACUGAGACACGGCCCAGACUCCUACGGGAGGCAGCAGUGGGGAAUUUUGGACAAUGGGGGCAACCCUGAUCCAGCCAUGCCGCGUGCGGGAAGAAGGCCUUCGGGUUGUAAACCGCUUUUGUUCGGGAAGAAAUCCUCUGGGCUAAUACCCCGGGGGGAUGACGGUACCGGAAGAAUAAGCACCGGCUAACUACGUG
Molecule: ribosomal RNA, 484 nt
Filed under: uncultured bacterium
Lineage: Bacteria
Description: partial 16S ribosomal RNA
Rfam family: Bacterial small subunit ribosomal RNA
Source: RNAcentral